AUUGAACGCUGGCGGAAUGCUUUACACAUGCAAGUCGAACGGCAGCAUAGAGAGCUUGCUCUCUGAUGGCGAGUGGCGAACGGGUGAGUAAUAUAUCGGAACGUACCCAGUAAUGGGGGAUAACGAAUCGAAAGAUUCGCUAAUACCGCAUACGCCCUACGGGGGAAAGCGGGGGGUCGUAAGACCUCGCGGUAUUGGAGCGGCCGAUAUCUGAUUAGCUAGUUGGUGAGGUAAAGGCUCACCAAGGCGACGAUCAGUAGCUGGUCUGAGAGGACGACCAGCCACACUGGAACUGAGACACGGUCCAGACUCCUACGGGAGGCAGCAGUGGGGAAUUUUGGACAAUGGGGGCAACCCUGAUCCAGCCAUUCCGCGUGAGUGAAGAAGGCCUUCGGGUUGUAAAGCUCCUUCGCAAGGGAAGAAAACUUAUCUACUAAUACUAGGUGAGGCUGACGGUACCUUGAUAAGAAGCACCGGCUAACUACGUGCCAGCCGCCGCAGUAA
RNAcentral lists this ribosomal RNA (504 nucleotides) under uncultured bacterium. RNAcentral describes it as "partial 16S ribosomal RNA". It matches the Rfam family "Bacterial small subunit ribosomal RNA", at positions 30 to 523 of the family's 1533-position model. The record is from RNAcentral.